This is a long non-coding RNA of Oncorhynchus tshawytscha (Chinook salmon), 1099 nucleotides long. Lineage: Eukaryota; Metazoa; Chordata; Actinopteri; Salmoniformes; Salmonidae. The record is from Ensembl.
AACAGGUGGGGACAGUGGAGAACAGGUGGGGGCAGAAAAUAACAGGUGGGGACAGUGGAGAACAGGUGGGGACAGUGGAGAACAGGAGGGGACAUUGGGGAACAGGUGGGCACAGUGGAGAACAGGUGGGGGCAGAAAAUAACAGGUGGGGACAGUGGAGUACAGGUGGGGACAAUGGUGAACAGGUAGGGACAGUGGGGAACAGGUGGGGACAGUGGAGAACAGGUGGGGACAGUGGAAAACAGGUGGGGACAGUGGAGAACAGGUGGGGACAGUGGAGAACAGGUGGGGACAGUGGGGAACAGGUGGGGACAGUGGGGAACAGGUGGGGGCAGUGGGGAACAGGUGGGGACAGUGGGGAACAGGUGGGGAACAGGUGGGGAUAGUGUGGAACAGGUGGGGACAGUGGAGAACAGGUGGGGACAUUGGGGAACAGGUGGGCACAGUGGAGAACAGGUGGGGGCAGAAAAUAACAGGUGGGGACAGUGGAGUACAGGUGGGGACAAUGGUGAACAGGUAGGGACAGUGGGGAACAGGUGGGGACAGUGGAGAACAGGUGGGGACAGUGGAAAACAGGUGGGGACAGUGGAGAACAGGUGGGGACAGUGGAAAACAGGUGGGGACAGUGGAGAACAGGUGGGGACAGUGGAGAACAGGUGGGGACAGUGGAGAACAGAUGGGGCAGAAAAGAACAGGUGGGGAACAGGUGGGGAAAGUGGAGAACAGAUAGGGACAGUGGAGAACAGGUGGGGGCAGAAAAGAGCAGGUGGGGAACAGGUGGGGACAGUGGAGAAUGUGGUGGGGACAGUGGAGAACAGGUGGGGAACAGGUGGGGACAGUGGAGAACAGGUGGGGACAGUGGAGAACAGGUGGGGAACAGGUGGGGACAGUGGAGAACAGGUGGGGCAGAAAAGAACAGGUGGGGAACAGGUGGGGACAGUGGAGAACAGGUGGGGACAGUGGAGAACAGGUGGGGAACAGGUGGGGACAGUGAAGAACAGGUGGGGGCUAGUGGUUAGGAAGCAUGGGGGGACACGGAAACAGAGACAGAGUGUGUAGUGAGAGACAUAAAUAGAGACAGACAGACAAUGCUCUCUAA